GGAGGGGUGGCAGAGUGGCUAAAUGCACCGGUCUUGAAAACCGGCGAGGGGUUAAACCCUCCGAGAGUUCGAAUCUCUCCUCCUCCGCCA
Molecule: transfer RNA, 90 nt
Filed under: Oceanospirillaceae bacterium
Lineage: Bacteria; Pseudomonadati; Pseudomonadota; Gammaproteobacteria; Oceanospirillales; Oceanospirillaceae
Description: tRNA-Ser
Rfam family: tRNA
About the family: Transfer RNA (tRNA) molecules are approximately 80 nucleotides in length.
Source: RNAcentral